UACGUAGGGUGCAAGCGUUGUCCGGAAUUAUUGGGCGUAAAGAGCUCGUAGGCGGUUUGUCGCGUCGACUGUGAAAACCCGGGGCUCAACCCCGGGCCUGCAUUCGAUACGGGCAGACUAGAGUUCGGUAGGGGAGUCUGGAAUUCCUGGUGUAGCGGUGAAAUGCGCAGAUAUCAGGAGGAACACCGGUGGCGAAGGCGGGACUCUGGGCCGAUACUGACGCUGAGGAGCGAAAGCGUGGGGAGCAAACGGG
This 253-nucleotide ribosomal RNA is filed under the name uncultured bacterium. Its description in RNAcentral is "partial 16S ribosomal RNA". It matches the Rfam family "Bacterial small subunit ribosomal RNA", at positions 524 to 776 of the family's 1533-position model. The record is from RNAcentral.